UACGUAGGGUGCAAGCGUUGUCCGGAUUUAUUGGGCGUAAAGAGCUCGUAGGCGGCUCGGUAAGUCAGGUGUGAAAACUCUAGGCUCAACCUAGAGACGCCACCUGAUACUGCUGUGGCUAGAGUCCGGUAGGGGAGCAUGGAAUUCCUGGUGUAGCGGUGAAAUGCGCAGAUAUCAGGAGGAACACCAGUGGCGAAGGCGGUGCUCUGGGCCGGAACUGACGCUGAGGAGCGAAAGCGUGGGGAGCAAACAGG
This 254-nucleotide ribosomal RNA is filed under the name uncultured bacterium. RNAcentral's name for it is "partial 16S ribosomal RNA". It matches the Rfam family "Bacterial small subunit ribosomal RNA", at positions 524 to 776 of the family's 1533-position model. The record is from RNAcentral.